Molecule: ribosomal RNA, 289 nt
Filed under: uncultured bacterium
Lineage: Bacteria
Description: partial 16S ribosomal RNA
Rfam family: Bacterial small subunit ribosomal RNA
Source: RNAcentral
GUGGAUUAGAUACCCUGGUAGUCCACGCCCUAAACGAUGUCGACUAGUUGUUGGGGGUUGAAAUCCCUGGUAACGCAGCUAACGCGUGAAGUCGACCGCCUGGGGAGUACGGCCGCAAGGUUAAAACUCAAAGGAAUUGACGGGGGCCCGCACAAGCGGUGGAUGAUGUGGAUUAAUUCGAUGCAACGCGAAGAACCUUACCUAGCCUUGACAUGUCUGGAACCCUGCAGAAACGUAGGGGUGCCCGAAAGGGAAUCAGAACACAGGUGCUGCACGGUCGUCGACAGCU